This 729-nucleotide ribosomal RNA is filed under the name Candidatus Tremblayella phenacoccinincola. RNAcentral's name for it is "bacterial SSU rRNA". It matches the Rfam family "Bacterial small subunit ribosomal RNA", at positions 658 to 1382 of the family's 1533-position model. The record is from RNAcentral. Lineage: Bacteria; Pseudomonadati; Pseudomonadota; Betaproteobacteria.
GGGAUAGAAUUCCAGGAGUAGCGGUGAAAUGCGUAGAUAUCUGGAGGAAUAUCAAAGGCGAAGGCAGUCCCCUGGUCCGAUACUGACACUGAGGUACGAAAGCGUGGGGAGCAAACAGGAUUAGAUACCCUGGUAGUCCACGCCCUAAACGAUGUCGAUUAGCCAUUGGAAGGACCCCUUUUCCUUUCAGUGACGUAGCUAACGCGUUAAAUCGACCGCCUGGGAAGUACGACCGCAAGGUUAAAACUCAAAGGAAUUGACGGGGACCUGAACAAGCGGUGAAUGAUGUGGAUUAAUUCGAUGCUACGCGAAGAACCUUACCUACCUUUGACAUGGCCAAAGUUCUACCGAGAGGCGGAAGUACUCGUAAGAGGAUUGGCGCAUAGGUGCUGCAUGGUUGUCGUCAGUUCGUGUCGUGAGAUGUUGGGUUCAGUCCCGCAACGAACGCAACCCUUAUCUUUAAUUGCUCCUAUUUUAACAGGCACUUUAAAGAAACUGCCAAUGAUAAGUUGGAGGAAGGUGGGGAUCACGUCAAGUCCGCAUGGCCUUUAUAGGUAGGGCUUCACACGUCAUACAAUGGUUAGAACAAAGAGCUGCAAAUUCGUAAGAAGGAGCCAAUCUCACAAACCUAACCUCAGUUCGAAUUGCGGUCUGCAACUCGAGCGCAUGAAGCCGGAAUCGCUAGUAAUCGUGGAUCAGAAUGCCACGGUGAAUACGUUCUUAGGUCUU